Molecule: ribosomal RNA, 537 nt
Filed under: uncultured Yersinia sp.
Lineage: Bacteria; Pseudomonadati; Pseudomonadota; Gammaproteobacteria; Enterobacterales; Yersiniaceae
Description: bacterial SSU rRNA
Rfam family: Bacterial small subunit ribosomal RNA
Source: RNAcentral
UGCCGGCGAGCGGCGGACGGGUGAGUAAUGUCUGGGAAACUGCCUGAUGGAGGGGGAUAACUACUGGAAACGGUAGCUAAUACCGCAUGACCUCGCAAGAGCAAAGUGGGGGACCUUCGGGCCUCACGCCAUCGGAUGUGCCCAGAUGGGAUUAGCUAGUAGGUGGGGUAAUGGCUCACCUAGGCGACGAUCCCUAGCUGGUCUGAGAGGAUGACCAGCCACACUGGAACUGAGACACGGUCCAGACUCCUACGGGAGGCAGCAGUGGGGAAUAUUGCACAAUGGGCGCAAGCCUGAUGCAGCCAUGCCGCGUGUGUGAAGAAGGCCUUCGGGUUGUAAAGCACUUUCAGCGAGGAGGAAGGCAGUCGUGUUAAUAGCACGAUUGAUUGACGUUACUCGCAGAAGAAGCACCGGCUAACUCUGUGCCAGCAGCCGCGGUAAUACAGAGGGUGCGAGCGUUAAUCGGAUUUACUGGGCGUAAAGCGUGCGUAGGUGGCCAAUUAAGUCAAAUGUGAAAUCCCCGAGCUUAACUUGGGA